CAGAUGUCAACGUUGUGGCAAGAACUCAACUUGAGCACCGAAGAAGCAUGGGAUUGCGCAGGCGACAGUGCUCGAUUUAAAAAAAGGCUGGAAAACGAAAGGGUCUUCGAAUUCUUGGCCGGACUGAAUCGCGACCUAGAUGAGGUGAGGGGACGAAUCCUUGGCCGGAAACCCUUACUGUCGACGAGGGAAGUGUUCGCAGAGGUCAGACGAGAAGAAAGCCGGAGAAAAAUUAUGUUGGAGAUGACCGGAGGUCCUUCAGGCGUGGGUGGAUCGAUUUCGACGAGUGAAUCUUCAGCCCUAUUGUCAAAAGGAAUUGGGUCAUCUACCGGGUCGGCUAUUGGGCCAUCUAACGGUGGGCUAAAAGGCAAUGGGCUGGGCCUUUUAAAAUAUGGCCCAGGAAAUCCUAAUUUUGGGUCAACAAAUGGGCCUGAGAAUACGGGCUUUUAUUUAAAAGGAACGACAAAUGGGUCAGACCCAAGGCAGCAAAAAGGACGACCUUGGUGUGAGCAUUGCCGUAAACCAGGACAUAACGAAGACACGUGUUGGGAUUUGCAUGGAAAACCCGCCAACUGGAAGCCUAGACAAAGUAAUAAAUACCGUGGAAAUCAGGCAUCAAUUGACUAUCAAGGAGGAAAGUCCAAGGAAUCAAGUGGUGCAUUUAAUGCCGAGCAGAUGGAACAGCUCUACAAAAUGUUUUCUAGCCUACAAUCAUCAAACCAAACCAAUAACCCGUCAAGUUCACUAGCGCACAAAGGUAAUUUUUUGAGGGCCUUAAAAUCUGCCACUCAACCAAAAACACCCUGGAUCAUUGACUCAGGAGCCUCGGACCACAUGACAGACUCCUAACACUUAUUCUCAUCUUACUCCCCAUGUGCCGGUAAUCUCAAGGUUAAAAUUGCAGAUGGAUCUCUGUCCACCAUAGCAAGAAAAUGGACUAUUCAAAUCUCUAAUUCUAUAACCUUGGAAUCUGUUCUUCAUGUUCCUAAUCUAUCUUGCAAUUUACUGUCUAUAAGUCAGUUAACAAAAUCCUCACAUUGUUCUGCUAAAUUUUUCCCAUCUUACUGUAUUUUUCAGGACCUAUCAUCGGGGAAGACGAUUGGCAGUGCUAAAGAAAGUGAAGGACUCUAUUACUUUGACAAGGCAGAUGUGGGUGAAUAGUGUCAAAUUAAAAUUUGUGAUUCUGCGUCUAUUCUUAGAAAUAGCGAAAUUAUGUUAUGGCAUUUUAGAAUGGGA
Molecule: long non-coding RNA, 1236 nt
Filed under: Olea europaea subsp. europaea
Lineage: Eukaryota; Viridiplantae; Streptophyta; Magnoliopsida; Lamiales; Oleaceae
Source: RNAcentral